This 1437-nucleotide ribosomal RNA is filed under the name uncultured organism. Its description in RNAcentral is "SSU rRNA". It matches the Rfam family "Bacterial small subunit ribosomal RNA". The record is from RNAcentral.
GCUAGCUACAGGCUUAACACAUGCAAGUCGAGGGGCAGCAUUUUAGUUUGCUUGCAAACUGAAGAUGGCGACCGGCGCACGGGUGAGUAACACGUAUCCAACCUGCCGAUAACUCCGGAAUAGCCUUUCGAAAGAAAGAUUAAUACCGGAUAGCAUAUGAAUAUCGCAUGAUAUUUUUAUUAAAGAAUUUCGGUUAUCGAUGGGGAUGCGUUCCAUUAGUUUGUUGGCGGGGUAACGGCCCACCAAGACUACGAUGGAUAGGGGUUCUGAGAGGAAGGUCCCCCACAUUGGAACUGAGACACGGUCCAAACUCCUACGGGAGGCAGCAGUGAGGAAUAUUGGUCAAUGGGCGAGAGCCUGAACCAGCCAAGUAGCGUGAAGGAUGAAGGCUCUAUGGGACGUAAACUUCUUUUAUAUGGGAAUAAAGUUUUCCACGUGUGGAAUUUUGUAUGUACCAUAUGAAUAAGGAUCGGCUAACUCCGUGCCAGCAGCCGCGGUAAUACGGAGGAUCCGAGCGUUAUCCGGAUUUAUUGGGUUUAAAGGGAGCGUAGGUGGACAGUUAAGUCAGUUGUGAAAGUUUGCGGCUCAACCGUAAAAUUGCAGUUGAUACUGGCUGUCUUGAGUACAGUAGAGGUGGGCGGAAUUCGUGGUGUAGCGGUGAAAUGCUUAGAUAUCACGAAGAACUCCGAUUGCGAAGGCAGCUCACUGGACUGCAACUGACACUGAUGCUCGAAAGUGUGGGUAUCAAACAGGAUUAGAUACCCUGGUAGUCCACACAGUAAACGAUGAAUACUCGCUGUUUGCGAUAUACAGUAAGCGGCCAAGCGAAAGCAUUAAGUAUUCCACCUGGGGAGUACGCCGGCAACGGUGAAACUCAAAGGAAUUGACGGGGGCCCGCACAAGCGGAGGAACAUGUGGUUUAAUUGGAUGAUACGCGAGGAUCCUUACCUGGGCUUAAAUUGCAUUUGAAUAUAUUGGAAACAGUAUAGCCGUAAGGCAAAUGUGAAGGUGCUGCAUGGUUGUCGUCAGCUCGUGCCGUGAGGUGUCGGCUUAAGUGCCAUAACGAGCGCAACCCUUAUCUUUAGUUACUAACAGGUCAUGCUGAGGACUCUAGAGAGACUGCCGUCGUAAGAUGUGAGGAAGGUGGGGAUGACGUCAAAUCAGCACGGCCCUUACGUCCGGGGCUACACACGUGUUACAAUGGGGGGUACAGAAGGCAGCUACAUGGUGACAGGAUGCUAAUCCCAAAAGCCUCUCUCAGUUCGGAUCGAAGUUUGCAACCCGACUUUGUGAAGCUGGAUUCGUUAGUAAUCGCGCAUCAGCCAUGGCGCGGUGAAUACGUUCCCGGGCCUUGUACACACCGCCCGUCAAGCCAUGAAAGCCGGGGGUACCUGAAGUACGUAACCGCAAGGAGCGUCCUAGGGUAAAACUGGUAAU